CCCUUUAGCCAGCGGUCAUAGCGAGCGGCUCAUAACCGCCAGGUCGCUGGUUUAAAUCCAGCAAGGGCCA
RNAcentral lists this transfer RNA (70 nucleotides) under Escherichia coli. RNAcentral describes it as "tRNA-Ile". It matches the Rfam family "tRNA". From Rfam's summary of the family: Transfer RNA (tRNA) molecules are approximately 80 nucleotides in length. Their secondary structure includes four short double-helical elements and three loops (D, anti-codon, and T loops). RNAcentral also lists the same sequence under 1 other name. The record is from RNAcentral. Lineage: Bacteria; Pseudomonadati; Pseudomonadota; Gammaproteobacteria; Enterobacterales; Enterobacteriaceae.